AUCUAUGGUAGCUCAGGCGGGGCAGGCAUUAGCCUGGCCGGUUUCCGAUGACGCCGGUAUUCCUACCCCCGUCUGGGCUAUCACCAAU
Molecule: non-coding RNA, 88 nt
Organism: Salmonella enterica subsp. enterica serovar Heidelberg
Lineage: Bacteria; Pseudomonadati; Pseudomonadota; Gammaproteobacteria; Enterobacterales; Enterobacteriaceae
Source: Rfam